GAUGAACGCUAGCGGCAGGCUUAACACAUGCAAGUCGAGGGGUAACAGGGAAAAGCUUGCUUUUUUGCUGACGACCGGCGCACGGGUGAGUAACGCGUAUAGAACCUCCCUUUUGCAGGGGAAUAGCCCAGAGAAAUUUGGAUUAAUGCCUUAUAGUAUUAUUGAGUGGCAUCAUUUAAUAAUUAAACAUUUAUGGGUAAAAGAUGGCUAUGCGUUAUAUUAGCUAGAUGGUAAGGUAACGGCUUGCCAUGGCAACGAUAGAUAGGGGUCAUGAGAGGGAGAUCCCCCACGCUGGUGCUGAGACACGGACCAGUCUCGUACGGGAGGCAGCAGUGAGGAAUAUUGGACAAUGGAGGCAACUCUGAUCCAGCCAUGCCGCGUGCAGGAAGACGGCCCUAUGGGUUGUAAUUUGCUUUUAUGCGGGAAGAAACCCAUAUACGUGUAGUUGGCUGACGGUACCGUAAGAAUAAGCACCGGCUAACUCCGUGCCAGCAGCCGCGGUAAUACGGAGGGUGCAAGCGUUAUUCGGAAUCAUUGGGUUUAAAGGGUCCGUAGGCGGGCUAAUAAGUCAGGGGUGAAAUCCAACAGCUUAACUGUUGAACUGCCUUUGAUACUGUUAGUCUUGAAUUAUAUGGAAGUAGAUAGAAUGUGUAGUGU
RNAcentral lists this ribosomal RNA (657 nucleotides) under Lutibacter sp. Its description in RNAcentral is "bacterial SSU rRNA". It matches the Rfam family "Bacterial small subunit ribosomal RNA", at positions 28 to 676 of the family's 1533-position model. The record is from RNAcentral. Lineage: Bacteria; Pseudomonadati; Bacteroidota; Flavobacteriia; Flavobacteriales; Flavobacteriaceae.